Molecule: ribosomal RNA, 497 nt
Filed under: uncultured bacterium
Lineage: Bacteria
Description: partial 16S ribosomal RNA
Rfam family: Bacterial small subunit ribosomal RNA
Source: RNAcentral
GACGAACGCUGGCGGCGUGCCUAAUACAUGCAAGUUGAGCGCUGAAGGUUGGUACUUGUACCGACUGGAUGAGCAGCGAACGGGUGAGUAACGCGUGGGGAAUCUGCCUUUGAGCGGGGGACAACAUUUGGAAGCGAAUGCUAAUACCGCAUAAAAACUUUAAACACAAGUUUUAAGUUUGAAAGAUGCAAUUGCAUCACUCAAAGAUGAUCCCGCGUUGUAUUAGCUAGUUGGUGAGGUAAAGGCUCACCAAGGCGAUGAUACAUAGCCGACCUGAGAGGGUGAUCGGCCACAUUGGGACUGAGACACGGCCCAAACUCCUACGGGAGGCAGCAGUAGGGAAUCUUCGGCAAUAGACGAAAGUCUGACCGAGCAACGCCGCGUGAGUGAAGAAGGUUUUCGGAUCGUAAAACUCUGUUGGUAGAGAAGAACGUUGGUGAGAGUGGAAAGCUCAUCAAGUGACGGUAACUACCCAGAAAGGGACGGCUAACUACGUG